GCCACAUGAUGUUCGCUUCUUGAGAAAUGAGCGCUUGGCGCAAUGCUGACCAUUAUCUAUCACCCUGGACUGAUGGCU
This is a small nucleolar RNA of Sorex araneus (European shrew), 78 nucleotides long. Its record names the gene SNORD83. It matches the Rfam family "Small nucleolar RNA SNORD83". Rfam says of the family: U83 (SNORD83) and U84 (SNORD84) are members of the C/D class of snoRNA which contain the C (UGAUGA) and D (CUGA) box motifs. They act as guanine methylation guides but lack complementarity to ribosomal RNA. NCBI's taxonomy places the organism in Eukaryota, Metazoa, Chordata, Mammalia, Eulipotyphla, Soricidae. The record is from Ensembl.